Non-coding RNA from Pseudonaja textilis, 3337 nucleotides. The record is from RefSeq and is a predicted model, not a curated record. Lineage: Eukaryota; Metazoa; Chordata; Lepidosauria; Squamata; Elapidae.
ACUCACAAAUGACUAACUUAACAACAGAAAUGUUGAGCUUAAUUGUGGUCAUAAGUCGAGCACCAACUGUACAGUUUGGGCAAUAGCCUAAAACAAGGUAGAUUAACAGAACUUCCAAAACAGCUAACUACAUAAUGUAUGAAGGACAUCGCCCCACCCCCAAAUACAACAUUUUAAAUAUUCUAUUGAACCAGUAUGGACCACAAGGGACAGUUUUACUGUAUUUUCAGCCAUUUUGAUCAAUUCAUAUUCAAAGCUGCAUCCACUUGAUUCACUUGUCAUAUAUUAUGUUUAUCUACAUGAAACAUCUCAGAUCAAAAUGUAGAUACAUAUAGUCUAUAGACGGCUUCUGAUAACCAAACAUACCCACAAAAUUCCAAAUAUGCCUACUAACUCCAAAAACAUUAUAGAGGUAGGUUGGCGUUGUACUUUUGGCUGGAAUUCUUAACUAAACAACACAUCUGAUGAACAGAGUGGCACAUAGGGUUCCACUUAUUAUUAUAUAUCUUUGUUCUUGAUCCACUAGAAUAUGCACUAGUUAGAACUGGACCAGGAAAACCAGAAGAUACAUACCCAUUUAACUAUACAACACAUUGCUGACUUUGGAUCGGACAUUUUCGACUUAAAAAACAUGCAUACUUCAAACUCUUGGAAAAAGACAAUAGAUAAGCGGCAUUUAAGAUUCUCUUUAAUAUACAAGCUUAACCCUUCUACUUGUCUCAAUACAGGGAAUAAAGUCAAUAGCUCAGUUCAGCCUGAAUAUCUAUACUUGUAUCUCCAUUUUGAGACUUGCAAAAAUUUCACACAUGGCUUGCCAAGGAUACAUACUUUUCAAACACAAAAAAAUGAGAUUUUACCAUUAACAUACAAUUAUUACUAUAAAUUCCUUUACGUCUAAAUAGACAUGUGUAAUAUGAUGACAGCCCUCCAUUUUGCCAGCCAUACAUCAGUAAAACCAAUACAUUUGGAUUUAGUAAAUUUUUCUACCUUCUUUCAAUGAGCCUAAACUAGCUCGAGCUUAAUGAACUUCAGCUAAGAAUUCUUUCAAAUACUGCUUAUGUAAUUUCUCUAAAUACAUAAAGUCUAGUAAGCUAAACAAGCUAAAAAGCCCCUGCUUUCCUGCCCUAUCUGAAUGUAUUCACUGCAUGCCACUACAAAGCAUAAAUUCACCGUCUCAAUCACAAUGAUUCAGAGGCAAUAGAACUGAUAACUCCUAUGGUAGCUAGCAGGAUAAACUACUUUCCUGGCUCUUUUAUGCACUGAUUCACAUUUACAAUUUUAGCAAAAAAUACAGUGCUAGCAUGAAGAUUAUACAGAUGAAAUGAUCUGAACAGAUAACAUUAUCAAUGCUAAAUUCAAAUCCAGCAAGAAUUCAUCAAGUACAGAACCUUUUAGAAAAGGGUUUAUAAAGGGUUUCAAAAUUAUAUUUAAGGCAGUGGCUAUUGCACAUAGAUACAUGAAAUUAGCCCAUAACUAACCCAUUAACCAUAAAUCAACCAUACAAGUUGGGUGUGCAUAGUCUACUGGGCAAUCAGAUUUUAGUCCAGGGCAUGCUUCAAAAUGGAAACCAACGGGUUGAUAGUCAAUCACCAUUCUCCACUUUCAUCUGUUCAAGCUGUGGAAUAUUUUAAUCAAAUAUUUGUUUAGCACAGCUGUUCCCAACCUUUCCAGCUUGGCAGCCCAGCCCGGGGCAGAGGGUGAGGUAUGAGUGGCAGGCACAUGAGUGCAGAUAUAUGUGUGCAAGCAGCAACCGUGUGCGCCCUCUACUUGCGCAAAUGGAGCUCUGUGCACAAGCAGAGGGUGCUUGCACUCAUGUGCAAAAUUCUAGCUAUGCAAGCCCGGGGGCGGGGCUUGUGCUUGCAUGUGAAGGUCCAUUCAUGUGAGUGGAGGGCAUUUGUGCCCAAAGCUCCAUUUGCACAAAUGCAGCUUCAUGCACAAGCACUCUCUACUCGCGCAAUGGAGCUUCACAUGCACACAUGUGCCAAUCUCUCCCACUGCCCAGUUUUGAACAGGCUGCAACCCAGUAGUGGGCCAUGGGCCAGAGGUUGGGGACACCUAGUUUAGCAGUUAUGGAGAAAGUUGAAACAUUGACUUGAGAUACUUACCAAAACUAUCACAGACUUUUCAUCUUCUCUGCAUAACUCCCUAAGAACCAGUCAAAGUGGUAAAAGAAAUUGCAUAAACAGAAUUGAGGCAACAGGUCUAUAGAAUUAAAUGACGAGCUACUACCACUGAAUUCUAUGGAGUAAUUUUUUUUCCUGAGUAGAAUAUGGUAUAAGAUAUAGGACUGCACAAUAAAUAAAACUAAAAUAUUCUAUCAAUUUUCUCUUUUUUAAUGUUUAAUUACAACGCAUUGAAUGAUCUUUAUUUGUAGAAACCCUUACAAUUUAUGAUGCUGAAUUUCAGCUAGUAACUGUAGCACUUACCUGAACUCACCCAUCUUUAUAUUUUUGGUUAUACUGAACUAUGAGGAAGGAUUACAAGUGCUAAAUAUUUUCCAUCUAAGAGGCAGCAAACACCUUAUCCAAAGCAAAAUACUGCUCAAGUAUACUUUUCAUGACAAUUUUUAUAUAUAAAAUAUAGAAGAAUAAAACUUUUAAGUAUUGUUUUACAGAUUCAUCUACCAUACAUCAUGGCUUUGGAUGUUUCUGAAUAUUCAGUACUAAGCUCCACAAGAAUUUUUUUCAAAAAAUAAUUGUUAAAAUCACACUUAGUGCAUCUAACACAUUUAUGGUUCCAUAUAACAUACAUUUUCAGUCAAUAUAUUUACCAAUAUUUGAGGCAUUAUAUCUCUUCAAAACAUGAAUUAUUUAUGUUUAAAGUAUUAGGUGUAUGCUUCUUAUUCUGAUGCAGCAUACUUUGAUAGAUACCUAAAAUAUGCCACAAACAGACGAAGCAGUUGAUUUUUUUUUUCUGAGAAAUCCUUUGGCAUGCUUUAGUAAAAGUAACUGAAAAUGUAGUAUCCGGGCUACUUAUUCAUAAAACCAAAAAUAAAAAGUAAUUUUAACAACUUUGCUGCAUAAGCACAUUGUUACAAGUAGAAACAUACUGGGACAUAGAUAUUUCUCAGAAUAUAUUAGUGCUUGUUAUCUGUUUUCUUUUUUAAAAAGAGCUCAUUUUAAAAAUAAAAUUUCAUUCUAUAGCUCUACUUAUUUUUAAGAAAUGAAUGCAAAUGUGUAAUCAAAAGCCCUAUUUAGACUUUAUGUGCACAAAAGUUUUAACUUAAAAAAAAAGAAAAGAAAAAUGCGAGCAAAUACUUGGAUCACCUGCUGGAGAAACAUCCAUUUUUAAGUUCAAUUGGGUUUUUUUUUAAAUUUAUUUUUUAGUGUAUGGAAUG